Molecule: non-coding RNA, 241 nt
Organism: Podarcis lilfordi (Lilford's wall lizard)
Lineage: Eukaryota; Metazoa; Chordata; Lepidosauria; Squamata; Lacertidae
Source: the annotation of a GenBank genome assembly
GCCUGUGGGGUAGCUCAAUUGAUGGAGCAUGAGACUCUUAAACUCAAGUAGGGUUGCCUGGUGGGGGUAGGAGCAAAAGUCUCGAGCUUUUUUCAGUUCUGCUCAAAGUUGUUGAGCUUUUCCCCCGGACAUUUCAGUGAUUUCUGCCCGGACGCUAUUUCUGACGGCCGAAUCUCCUCUAUGUCUGGGAAAUUCUGAACACCCUAACUCAAGUUCAUGGGUUCAAGCCCUGUGUUGGGCA